Molecule: ribosomal RNA, 506 nt
Filed under: uncultured bacterium
Lineage: Bacteria
Description: partial 16S ribosomal RNA
Rfam family: Bacterial small subunit ribosomal RNA
Source: RNAcentral
AUUGAACGCUGGCGGCAGGCUUAACACAUGCAAGUCGAGCGGUAACAGAGAGAAGCUUGCUUCUCUGCUGACGAGCGGCGGACGGGUGAGUAAUGCCUAGGAAUCUGCCUAGUAGUGGGGGAUAACUUGCCGAAAGGUAAGCUAAUACCGCAUACGUCCUACGGGAGAAAGGAGGGGACCUUCGGGCCUUCCGCUAUUAGAUGAGCCUAGGUCGGAUUAGUUAGUUGGUGAGGUAAUGGCUCACCAAGCCCGCGAUCCGUAACUGGUCUGAGAGAAUUAUCAGUCACACGGGCACUGAGACACGGUCCAAACUCCUACGGGAGGCAGCGGUGGGGAAGAUUGGACAAUGGGGGGAACCCUGAUCCAGCCAUGCCGCGUGUGUGAAGAAGGUCUUAGGAUUGUAAAGCACUUUAAGUUGGGAGGAAGAGCAGUUAACUAAUAUUUGACUGUUUUGACGUUACCGACAGAAUAAGCACCGGCUAACUUCGUGCCAGCAGCCGCGGUAA